AAGUCGUAACAAGGUUCCCGUAGGUGAACCUGCGGAAGGAUCAUUACUAGAGCAAAGGAUAGACAGCGCCCGCGGAGCUCGCUCCCGGGGCUACCCUACUCCCGUAGGGUUUAGAGUCGUCGGGCCUCUCGGAGAAGCUCGGUCCUGAACUCCACCCUUGAAUAAACUACCUUUGUUGCUUUGGCGGGCCGCCUCGUGCCAGCGGCUUCGGCUGUUGAGUGCCCGCCAGAGGACCCCAACUCUUGUUUUUAGUGAUGUCUGAGUACUAUAUAAUAGUUAAAACUUUCAACAACGGAUCUCUUGGUUCUG
RNAcentral lists this unclassified non-coding RNA (309 nucleotides) under Leptodophora orchidicola. RNAcentral's name for it is "Cadophora orchidicola partial internal transcribed spacer region". The stretch from base 1 to 46 matches the Rfam family "Eukaryotic small subunit ribosomal RNA", at positions 1786 to 1831 of the family's 1831-position model. Lineage: Eukaryota; Fungi; Ascomycota; Leotiomycetes; Helotiales. The record is from RNAcentral.